RNAcentral lists this ribosomal RNA (632 nucleotides) under Microbacterium sp. RNAcentral's name for it is "bacterial SSU rRNA". It matches the Rfam family "Bacterial small subunit ribosomal RNA", at positions 103 to 748 of the family's 1533-position model. Lineage: Bacteria; Bacillati; Actinomycetota; Actinomycetes; Micrococcales; Microbacteriaceae. The record is from RNAcentral.
CGGGUGAGUAACACGUGAGCAACCUGCCCUGGACUCUGGGAUAAGCGCUGGAAACGGCGUCUAAUACUGGAUAUGAACCACGAAGGCAUCUUCAGUGGUUGGAAAGAUUUUUCGGUCUGGGAUGGGCUCGCGGCCUAUCAGCUUGUUGGUGAGGUAAUGGCUCACCAAGGCGUCGACGGGUAGCCGGCCUGAGAGGGUGACCGGCCACACUGGGACUGAGACACGGCCCAGACUCCUACGGGAGGCAGCAGUGGGGAAUAUUGCACAAUGGGCGGAAGCCUGAUGCAGCAACGCCGCGUGAGGGAUGACGGCCUUCGGGUUGUAAACCUCUUUUAGCAAGGAAGAAGCUUUUGUGACGGUACUUGCAGAAAAAGCGCCGGCUAACUACGUGCCAGCAGCCGCGGUAAUACGUAGGGCGCAAGCGUUAUCCGGAAUUAUUGGGCGUAAAGAGCUCGUAGGCGGUUUGUCGCGUCUGCUGUGAAAUCCCGAGGCUCAACCUCGGGCCUGCAGUGGGUACGGGCAGACUAGAGUGCGGUAGGGGAGAUUGGAAUUCCUGGUGUAGCGGUGGAAUGCGCAGAUAUCAGGAGGAACACCGAUGGCGAAGGCAGAUCUCUGGGCCGUAACUGACGCUG